Long non-coding RNA from Canis lupus familiaris (dog), 3890 nucleotides. RefSeq lists it as uncharacterized. The transcript has 3 exons. The record is from RefSeq and is a predicted model, not a curated record. Lineage: Eukaryota; Metazoa; Chordata; Mammalia; Carnivora; Canidae.
UUUUCAUUCUUUUUAUCCCUUCUUUUAGCUGGAAAACUUAGAAGGAAAUGAAUCAUGUUACAAUCUUAGUGGCUAAUUAGCUAGCUGCUUCUGAUAACAGAGCCAAGGGGUUUCUUUGGUGGAGGACUCUCUUUCUUCCCCUGAUGCCUGAGCUCUCUUAACCAGACUAACUGAUUUGUGCAGGGUGUGACUCAGUGGCACCAUGUGUCACACAAAACGUCUCGUGAAACGAAUAUACCUGUGAUCCACCAACCUCGUGGUAGGUGAAAAUUUGUGUUGACCCCUUUUGCACAAUCUUAGGAAUGCAGAGAGGAAAUCCAAUAUUAAAAAAAACAAACAUUUUUUUUCCCCUAAAAAUUGCAUACAGCAUGGGAAUUAGCUGAUAAAGAAGAAAAGGAGGGGGUUAGUUACCCUAUUAUUCUAUCCGAGUUCUUCUGUGGUAACAAGAGUAGGAGUUACCUGAGGAGGCACGUCACGGAGCAUAGUGACGUCAUCUCAGGUAAGACAAUGGAGAAUCCGUUUCCCUGGUUGAGCAUAUGGUGAGCACCCAGCACCUCCAGAUAGCAUGAGGCUUGCUGGGGAGCAGCGCUGAGCGAGGCAGAUCGGAUCCUCGGCUUGGCGGAGCUCGUCCUCAUGACAUAGGCGGAUGUGUGUGGAGAGCCGAAGGAUUCCUCCAAGUGCCUAGAACAGUGCAUGACACAUACUAGAUUCUCGAUGGGGUUGGUACGAUCUUGUCACACCAACAUUAGAAAGUCUGAUGUUCCUGACUCCUACUCUUACCUGCCAUAUCCUCCAAAUCCCCUGAAAAUUUCACUUUUUUUUUUUUUUUUUGGAAAUUACCCAGAAUGUGUCACUACGCAAAUCUGGCAGAUUCCUCCCUUUGUGGCCCAGACCUGCUCGCGGGCGUCCUCUGCCAGUGGAGGGUGCUCGCCAUUGACUCCUUACUGGGCAAUCGGCCUCCAGCAGGAUGAUCAUGUGCUUUGUGCCAAGUGUAGUGUCUCCUAAUGCCUGAAAUGCACAUCUGUGUCCUCCACUUUGUGCCUCGUUUCAUCACAGAAACUCCAAAGCAGUGAUGCUCAUGCCGUGGGUCCCUCAGACUCACUUUUGAGAAGUCUAUCUUCAGAUUCUGCGAGCAGCGCUCUUUCCAUAGAGCCCUAACACGGUUUCCAAGCGGGACGAGGACACACGGUGACCCUUGUCGCCCUCUUCCUUUCCUCUUCUCUUCUUUUGUAGACUGAUGCUCAGACCUGGGCGAUGCAGAAUGGCCCAAGCCUCCAGAGGCCGAAUAGACUUGAUAGCAACAGGCUCCAUGAGUAAACUACAAAGCUAGACUGUACCAGGGGACGAUACUGUUACUAUCGUGAGGGCAGCAAUUUCUUUUUUCUUUUCUUUUCUUUUUUUUUUAGGGCAGCAAUUUCUAAUCUAAAUCCCGCCUUUAAAUCUGACUCUCUUUACAGAAGUUAUUUUUCCUAAUUUCAGAAAAGUGAGUGCUCAUAAUAAGCAAACCUCCUGAAUAGGUCAAGGGGACGUAAGCAUAAAUACACAGUAAGGCUUCUGGCUCCAUAUUAUUCUAUUAAAGGCCAGGUUCAAUAAAAUUGUUAAUUUAUUAGGUAUUUACUUGUACCAGGCACUGUCGAUUAUGAAAAUAGAAAACAAGAUUCUUGUUAACUUGGGAAUUACUUUUUGGAGGGAGGGUGGAAAAAUCUCAAACUGCAGGCAGAUUAUUGGUAGAAUGUACAAGUCUAUAUGUAGUGCGAUUUUUGAGUUUUUAAGCUGAUCCCGUGAACCCCACAAUUCUUCCUUGCUCUGUGUGCUUGUACAUGAAAUCAUAUUAGGAGAAAUGCAUUUUUCAAUUUCAGUUAGUUCCGUGUGAGCUUGUCACAAAGGAAUUCCCCAUUCAACAUUUCCUUAAAGGAGGUUUGCGUUGGAUUGGGCAUGUCUUGGGCAAGUCGUCGAAACUCACUGGAUUUUCUCAUUCUACUACGUAAAAUGAGGAAGCUGCAUCUGAUGGCCUCCUGGUCCAGUUCUAAAAUCUCGUGAUUCAAAUGGCGGGGUUGUAUGGACAGACCUAGAGGAAGAUCAGUGGUGGUUGGAAGAGCCUUCAGGACGUUGUGGCAAGGGUGAGUGUUACAGAGCGAAUGUUAGUGUACCACCCACCCCAAGUCUUACGCUGAAACCUAAUCUCCAAUGUGGUAGCCUUUGGAGGUGGGGCUUUGGGGAAGUGAUUAGGUUGUGAGGGCAGAGACUUAUAAAACCAAUCCCAAUUGCUCCCUUACCCCUCGUGCCAUGUGAGGACACAACGAGAAGAUGGUUGGCUGUGAACCAGGAAGAGAGUUCUCACCAGACAUCAAAUCUGCCAGCAAGCUUAUCUUGGACUUUCUAGCCUCCAGCAUCAUUGGCACCGUGAGAAAUAAAUUUCUGUUGAUUAGAAGCCGCCCCAUUGAUGGGAUUCGGUUACAGCAGCCCAAACAGAUCUGUCCCACAGGAGACCAGCAGCACAGCUGAAGCUCGGGUACCUGGGGAAGGGCUGUGUCGUGGCCUCCUGUGAUCAAUACAGAUGUGGCAAGUACGUGGAAAACAACGCGACUGUAAAAACAAAAGAGAGACUUACUAACCCUAACUCCGAUAGUUCUGCAGUAACUUCUCGGCUCUUCCGUCUUCCCACAAAGGCAUUUGUGCUCCGCCCUACUCAUCCGCUGGUCUUUUUAUUUUUCACUGAUAUCCCCUGUUAGUUUUGUGGGAUAUGGCUCAGAAUGCGCGAAAGAGGAUUAGAGCUUUUUUCUUUUUCUUUUUUUUUUUUUUACGGUCCUUCUGUACCCUAAGAUUCUAUGCGUCCGGGAUCGCUGUGGAUCAGUGAACGACCAUUGGAAUAAGGCUGAGCUAUGAGGAAAAAAACAAGUCAGAAUAACAUAGCAGAUGAAGAAAGCUCUUUCGUGCUGAGCUGACUGUUCUCCAAGCCACCAGAGACCGUAGCCGAUCAUUUGAGGGAAAAAGGCAAAGAAAGAAAAGAUAAGAGAAUUGCACUGUUCGGUUUUCGGUAAAAAAGUAUUGUUCAGUUUCCUUUUUUUCAGGGUCUGGUCAACAAAAUUAGCGCAGGAACAUACAUCUGGACAAAUCACCAAACGUCGCGGCCACUUCUUUUUGACAUCUGCUUCCUUUUCUCGAUCUCAACGUGAGUUUUUCUUUCUCGUCAAGGGAGUCGGUGCAAUGAGGUCGCCGGCUUGCUUGACCAGGACUCCAGGACUCCUGACAGCUGAUGAAACAGAUUUCGGUGCCUUGUGCGGCCAGUUUGCAAUACGGAAAAGUCCCCUGCGCUUGGAGUAAUAUUUAUUGGCGGAUACACCCUUAAGGUGGAAGGAAAUCCCGCCCCCAUACCUGGUUUUCUGACAGUCUUUCCUUUUUUUUUUUGUCUUUGUUUUCAAAAACCGGGCACCCUUCCCCUCAACGGGCCCGAUACCACGUCGGUGUGAAGGACUAGUCCGUACCCUGGUGACGGAAGGUCUAUUCUUAUCCCAGCCUCUUGGGAAAUACCCUCUGGCCCGUCACUCUUCUCUGUAAAACUGAGACUAAUUUAAAGAUAAAUUGUCCGGAGCUCCCGUGAAGCAGAAGCAAAGAUAAAGUUAAUGGGAAUGUGAUUCGAUUUAUAAAAAUCUGAUUUACGCACAACUUUUCAGUAGCACAUUUAUAACAUCAAAUGGGGAACAUCUGUACCAAAGGAAACAACAAAUUCCUUGAGCUUUCAUUAUGAAAAGAAAUCAAAUCGUGAGGAAAGACAAGAUGUACAGGCAAUUACUCAGUAUCAGCAUCGUGGCUGACAAGCUCCACCACAGCUGGUCGAGGAAAAUAAUUACAUUCCUGGAACCGCAAGCUUGUUCCCUCUUUAUGGUGAU